This 484-nucleotide ribosomal RNA is filed under the name uncultured bacterium. Its description in RNAcentral is "partial 16S ribosomal RNA". It matches the Rfam family "Bacterial small subunit ribosomal RNA", at positions 29 to 507 of the family's 1533-position model. The record is from RNAcentral.
AUUGAACGCUGGCGGCAUGCUUUACACAUGCAAGUCGAACGGCAGCGCGGGCUUCGGCCUGGCGGCGAGUGGCGAACGGGUGAGUAAUACAUCGGAACGUGCCCAGUAGUGGGGGAUAGCUCGGCGAAAGCCGGAUUAAUACCGCAUACGACCUGAGGGUGAAAGCGGGGGAUCUUCGGACCUCGCGCUAUUGGAGCGGCCGAUGGCAGAUUAGCUAGUUGGUGGGGUAAAGGCCUACCAAGGCGACGAUCUGUAGCUGGUCUGAGAGGACGACCAGCCACACUGGGACUGAGACACGGCCCAGACUCCUACGGGAGGCAGCAGUGGGGAAUUUUGGACAAAGGGCGAAAGCCUGAUCCAGCAAUGCCGCGUGUGUGAUGAAGGCCUUCGGGUUGUAAAGCACUUUUGGCGGGAACGAAAAGGACUGUGCCAAUACCACGGUUUGAUGACGGUACCAGCAGAAUAAGCACCGGCUAACUACGUG